This 5393-nucleotide long non-coding RNA is filed under the name Sus scrofa (pig). Its description in RNAcentral is "lncRNA (ENSSSCG00000056796.1)". Lineage: Eukaryota; Metazoa; Chordata; Mammalia; Artiodactyla; Suidae. The record is from RNAcentral.
UGGCAUAAGGAAGUUCCCAGGCUAGGGACUGAAUUGGAGCUAUAGCUGCUGGCCUAUGCUACAGCCACAGCAACAUGGUAUCCAAGCUGCAUCUGCAGCCUACACCAGAGCUCACUGCAAUGCCAGAUCCUUAGCCCACUGAACAAGGCCAGGGAUAUAAACCAGCAUCUCAUGGAUAUUAGUUGGGUUCAUAACCCACUUUAGCCACAAUGGGAAAUUCCCUGGUUUUCUUUAUUUGAAUGUGUGGUCAUUUAUCUUCCUAGCACGAGUUAAUGAACAAAACAGAUAAAAACACCCCACCCUUCUGCAACUUACAUGAGGUAACAGAAGUAAAUGAGAGUCAAUAAAACAAUAAAUGGAUAAUUUUUUUACUGUAAUAGAUGCUGGUAUCCUUGGAAAAAUGAAGGACUAGAUCAGGGUAAGGGGCAUGGCUGGGAGGUGGUAAAGGUGGGACUUAGGGGAGAGCAGUUAGUAGUGUUGAUAGGUCUACAGUGUUUAUAGGAGGUGAGGGAAUUAGCCAAGAGUACUUUUAGAAAAAGAGCUUUCCAGGCAGAGGGCCCAGUUAGAGCAAAGGCCAUUAAGAUGGAAAUAGACCUGAAAUAGCCAAGAAACAGCAAGGGGGUCAGAGGGUUGAAACAGGAGGAACAAAGCAGGGGUGGGGGUAGGGGAUGGAAAGCAGGAGGUGAUGUGGGGUCUUAUAGAUAAUGUAGGAACUUGAGCUUUUACUAUGAGUGAGAUGGGAAGCAGUAAAGAUCUAAGAGAAGCAGUUUUCUGAUUUCUAUUUUUAAAGGAUCACUCAGAUCUCUUUACUAAGACUAGAUUAUACUUGGUCUAGUGUUGAAGUGGAGGCCACUUAGGAGGCUUUUACAACUGCCCGGCUGAGAGAUGUUGGAGACCCGAGUCAGCAUUGCAGUGAUGGAAGUGAUGAGAAGUGGCUGGAUCCUAAACAUAUUUUGAAUGUAGAACCAAAAGGACUUGCUGAUAUUUUACAUGUGAAAUGUGAGAAACAGAAAAGCCAAUGGUGAUUUUAAUGUUCUUAGGCUGAACAAAUAAGUUCAAUUUUUUUUUCUUUUUUGGUCUUUUUAGGGCUGCACCUGUGGCAUGUGGAAGUUCUCAGGCUAGGGGUUGAAUUGGAGCUGCAGCUGCCGGCCUACACCACAGCCACAGUAAUAUGGGAUCCAAGCCGCUUUUGUGACCUACAUCACAGCUCAAGACAGCGCCAGAUCCUUAACCCACUAAGAGAGACUAGGGAUCAAACCUGUAUCCUCAUGGAUACUAGUCAGAUUUGUAACCUGCUGAGCCACAACAGAACUCCCAAGGAUCCAAUAUUUGAUAAGCUGUUUUAUAUUACAUAUUAAGUUACUUAUUACCUAACUAAGUGGUUAAAUAUCAUAUUCAUAGACUCAGAAUAAUGCUGAGUCUAUGACUAUGAGAACUUACUCAAAGUUAAGUUUUCCCCUCAUCAUUUAUUCAAUUUAUUUUGCACCAAAUAAAUAGCAGUAUAUUUAUAGCAGAGCCCUCAAGGCAAAUUCAUUGAGGCCUGAAUUUGUGUGAGUAGGUCUUGUAGAUCAGUGAGACUAGAUAUGCUGAAAGAUAAUUUACAAGAGAAAGACUGAAAAAUUUUAUGGAGAAUAAUUCAUACUAAUAAUUCAUACUAAUAAUGAACUUAUGGAGAAUAAUUCAUACUAAUAAUUCAUACUAAUACAAGAGGUAAAGAAAGCAAACUUGAUGCAAUAGCAAAUUGCUGCACUGACCCAAUAGUAGAAUUGGUCUGUAUUUCAGAUUUGUUCCAACUCCUUCCUUCCUUCGUUCUUUCCUUCCUUCCUUCCAUGGUAGACUCAUUUGGGGAUAUUAUGAGAGAGAGGGUUAUGAAUGAAAAAUGAAAGAAUUACUUACACUAACAUAAUCUCUGUAAGGUAUUAGGACAGAAGAGAUUGUCACAUUGGUUCAUUUUUUACAGGUUGUUAUGAAUGAGAAAAGGGAUCCAUUUCUCCCCACAUUGGGAUAGAAUGCUGAAUAGCUUUGGUACCUUGGUAUGCACUCUGUCAGCACCACCAACAAGGGCCAUGACACAGGAAGUACCAGCAGUGUUAAGUGGCAGGGACCUGAGAGCUGUGGUACCCAAUCGAAGUGGCAGUUGAGUCUAGAAAAGAUGGUGGUACCUGGUCACAAUGUAAAUGUUAUGGACUGAAUGUGUCUGCCUCAAAUUCGUAUAUUGGUUUCCUAAACACUACGAGGGUGGGUUCCUUGGGAGGUCCUUAGGUCUUGGGGUGGAGCCCUCACAAAUGGGGUUAGUUAUCUUAUGAGACAUAGAGACAUGAUCUCUCUCUCCUUCAUGGGAGGACACAUUUGGAAAAUGGCAUCCAUACACCAGGAACUCAAGCAUCCUAGCACCCUGAUCUCAGACUUCUAGUCUUCAGAACUGUGAAAAAUAAUAAUUUGUUAUUUAAGCCACCCAUUUUAUGAUAAUUUGUUGUAGCAGUCCAAAGAGAUUAAGGCAGUAGCUCUUCAGUCUUUUGUGAGAUUUCCACUGGAGAUUCACAGUAGUACUUAGGGUGUGUAUGUGUAUAUGUGUGUGUGUGUAUGUGUGUGUACUUGCACACAUGGGCUAUUCAGACUAUUGAGUACAAAUUAGAACAUGGGGAGUUCCCAUCGUGGCUCAGUGGUUAACAAAUCCGACUAGGAACCAUGAGGUUAUGGGUUCGAUCCCUGGCCUUGCUCAGUGGGUUAAGAAUCUGGCAUUGCCAUGAGCUGUGAUGUAGGUUGCAGACGCAGCUCAGAUCCUGAGUUGCUGUGGCUCUGGCAUAGGCUUGGCAGCUGCAGCUCUGAUUCGACCCCUAGCCUGGGAACCUCCAUAUGCCAUGGGUGUGGCCCUAGAAAAGACCAAAAAAAAAAAAAAAUAGAAGAUGGUUUUGAGAACCAGAGAAAUAUGUUUUUACUAUCAAGGUGAUUUGAUUUUGGCCUCAGUCUGGGGUGGACUAACAGAGUGAGUCUGUGUAUCACUUUUUGCAAAAAGAUGCUAUAUUUUUGGUCACCUUGGUUAUUUAGCAUAGGAUGCCUUUGAAACAAAAAUCUUAAGUCCCAUUUCUGCAUGUGCCUAUUAGGAAAGCGUUACUAGGAAAGAAACAUUUGUUAGGUUCUACUUUGUGCAAGACACUACUGUAGAUGCUUUACACAAGCUAUUUCGUGAUACAAAUGACCAUUGACUCAAUGAGGUCUGGACUGUUAUAGAAGGAAGGACUUGAGUAUAAAGAGGAGGACGACAGCAACUAGUUACAGAGAAAUCUCAGGCAUAUACUAUGUUCCACAUUCAUUGUGCUAUUUAAUCUUUAUAGCAGUACUAUUCGAUCAACACCCUUAUGCUCAUUCUACAAAUGAGGAACCUGGGAAUCAGGUUAAGAAGUUUUCACAGUUACAUGGUUUAAGCUGUGGAAUAGUUGUUCAAAUAUAGACUUCCCUCACUUUGAAGUCUACAUUCUAAACACUUAAGGCAGCUAUUGCUUCAAUAAUGCCACCCAAAACCCUCCCAGAAUUCAGAGGCUUUCAGUUACUAAUAUUUACUUUUCUCACUUUUAUUCUGUAGGUCUGCUGGGGCCUCUCUGUUUCAGGCUGUGGGUCAGUAGGAUUUGACUCCAGCUUGGAGCUGGGGUCAGGUCUGUUCCUAUAUCUCAUUUUGGAUGUGCUAGGGCUGUACUUUCAUCAUGACCAUCAGAGGUACCCAGGAAACCACAUACAGUCUUUCUUAGUUAUUCUCCAGGGUGGGGUUGGGGGGGGAUUGGUUUCAGGACCCCCUGUGGAUACAAAACUCUGGGGGUGCUGGAGUCCCUUAGCCCCUUUCUAUCUGUGGGCUUUGCAUCUGUUGAUUCAACCAACAGCAGUUUGUAAACCCAGUACUUGAACUGCAGUGAGUAGAAUCUGAUGAUGUGGAACCCAUGGAUAUGGAGGGUCCACUUAUAUUUCUUAAAUGCCUCUGCUUAUGUCACAUCCACAGACAUUUCCGAGGAAGUCAUGUGCACAAGCCCAAUCAAUGUCAAGGAGGAUGUGGAAACAUCCUCACAGUGGAAAGAACUGGGGGAUUACAUAGCUAAAGGUAUAGAUGGAUAAUUUUAUAAUGCAGAAGGAGCAAAGAAUUGAGAACAAUAAUCCAAUUUACCACACUACUGCAUCACACUACUUUCCUGAUGAAAGGAAAUUUAUCACUGUUUCAAGAGUCAUUCUAACUAUAUUAUCCACUGAUAGUGGUUUGAAAGUGCCGUCUUUUUAAACGAAGAGAUGCAUCACACAAAAUAUUAGAUCUUAAUACAUGCUUGAAAAGGCUGCUGAUGACACUGAGUUUUCUAGUUAACUGCGAAGUGCAAAGGCAUAUUUUCUACUUCUAUUACUUAUAUGCAUUUCUCUUGGAAUGCAUUUUCUUUUGGAUUAAAUUUUAACAUCACCAUCGGUGCCCCAGUUGGAUCUCUUUAUAAUUUCUAGACUUACUCCUCAUCCACUCUGCAUAAUUAUGAAUUUCAUGUACAUAUGGAUGUUUCUGCAAUAAUGAACUUUAUUUCUUACGCUUUUCCUAUAUGAUAAGAAAGCAACCAUUUGAUUCAUUAAAAUCAGAAAAACAAUAUGGUCCAACAAACUAUUUUGCCUCAUACAUGACCAAAUAGUACUUUUACUGGUUAAGGUUUUUGUUUGUUUGUUUUUUUCAUCUCACAUGGUUGUUAUGACCUCACACAGACAAGCCUUUUAGUUUAUAGAGAUUCUUCAUAUUGAGUACUGCUAGCACAUUAUUUAACCCCCAAAUUCUGUGAUUUUGAAGUCUUCUAGGAAGUAAAUUGAGUAACUGAAUUAUUAUUUAUUUGAACUGUGUGUCAGAUCGAAGUGCAUUCAUCAACAUUCACCUGGACUCUGAGGUUUUUUUCCCCUUGAGUAAUCUUCCAGCUGAGUCCCUAAAUGUUUGUAGAACCUUCCAAAUAAAUCUAAAAGCAUUUUAAAGGAGAGUUGGAGCAUAGAUUUCUGUCCUUUAUUUGUAUCUUUGGCUUUGUAAAGGGUCCUUUUCAAGAGUGCGCCAUGCUGGAGCUAGAUGUAGUUACAAUAGUAGAUAUUUUCUUGCAGAGAGAAAGCUUAGUUUUAGACAUUUCACUUCUUUAACAUUUCUUUCCAAUCUUCCAUCAAAAGCAUCCAUGGGAGGCUGUUAAAUCACAGGGGGAAUAUGCUGUGAAAGACUGCCCACAUUUGAUAGCCGAGAGCAAAAGUCAGUCAAAGGUGACCUUUUUUCCUAUUAUGUAGCUCAGCCGAGGAACUUGCCAUUUGAACUUUGGCAGCGUAGCUUCUUCAACCAUAUGGUUCUCUCAAUAGCCAAUAUAAGACAGCCCAGCAGGGGAGUUAAUUGCUUCUCAUUGUAAAAA